This is a transfer RNA of Weissella halotolerans DSM 20190, 55 nucleotides long. It matches the Rfam family "tRNA", at positions 17 to 71 of the family's 71-position model. From Rfam's summary of the family: Transfer RNA (tRNA) molecules are approximately 80 nucleotides in length. The record is from Rfam. NCBI's taxonomy places the organism in Bacteria, Bacillati, Bacillota, Bacilli, Lactobacillales, Lactobacillaceae.
GGAGAGCACCUGCCUUACAAGCAGGGGGUCACAGGUUCGAUCCCUGUAACGUCCA